UACGUAGGGGGCAAGCGUUAUCCGGAUUUAUUGGGUUUAAAGGGUGCGUAGGCGGGCUUUUAAGUCAGCGGUAAAAAUUCGGGGCUCAACCCCGUCCGGCCGUUGAAACUGGGGGCCUUGAGUGGGCGAGAAGAAGGCGGAAUGCGUGGUGUAGCGGUGAAAUGCAUAGAUAUCACGCAGAACCCCGAUUGCGAAGGCAGCGUACCGGCAUCCAACUGACGCUGAGGCACGAAAGCGUGGGGAUCAAACAGG
RNAcentral lists this ribosomal RNA (252 nucleotides) under uncultured bacterium. Its description in RNAcentral is "partial 16S ribosomal RNA". It matches the Rfam family "Bacterial small subunit ribosomal RNA", at positions 524 to 776 of the family's 1533-position model. The record is from RNAcentral.